GACGAACGCUGGCGGCGUGCUUAACACAUGCAAGUCGAACGGUAAGGCCCUUCGGGGUACACGAGUGGCGAACGGGUGAGUAACACGUGGGUGAUCUGCCCUGCACUUCGGGAUAAGCCUGGGAAACUGGGUCUAAUACCGGAUAGGACUCCGGACUGCAUGGUCUGGGGUGGAAAGCUUUUGCGGUGUGGGAUGGGCCCGCGGCCUAUCAGCUUGUUGGUGGGGUGAUGGCCUACCAAGGCGACGACGGGUAGCCGGCCUGAGAGGGUGACCGGCCACACUGGGACUGGGAUACGGCCGAGACUCCUACGGGAGGCAGCAGUGGGGAAUAUUGCACAAUGGGCGCAAGCCUGAUGCAGCGACGCCGCGUGAGGGAUGACGGCCUUCGGGUUGUAAACCUCUUUCAGCACAGACGAAGCGCAAGUGACGGUAUGUGCAGAAGAAGGACCGGCCAACUACGUGCCAGCCGCCGCAGUAA
Molecule: ribosomal RNA, 478 nt
Filed under: uncultured bacterium
Lineage: Bacteria
Description: partial 16S ribosomal RNA
Rfam family: Bacterial small subunit ribosomal RNA
Source: RNAcentral